Molecule: ribosomal RNA, 1571 nt
Filed under: Endolimax nana
Lineage: Eukaryota; Evosea; Mastigamoebida; Endamoebidae
Description: SSU rRNA
Rfam family: Eukaryotic small subunit ribosomal RNA
Source: RNAcentral
CUGCCAGUAGUCAUAUGCUUGUGUUAAAGAUUAAGCCAUGCAUGCCUAGGUAUAGGUGGACAAAGAACCGAGACUGCGGAUGGCUCAUUAAAUCAGUCAGAAUUAGUUUGGUGAAGCGUGGAAUGGAGAAGGAUAACCCUGUGAAUUGUAGAGCUAAUACAAGAAGAUAUUUCAUGGUGGUGACACCGGUGGAAUAGCAUUUAUCAGCUCUGGUUUUGGUGUGUGUGGUUUGCUGAGCCUGAAUGGGUGUGGUGACACAUGAGCUGGAAGGGGUGGUGACAAGGAGAGUGUGCUGAAGGGGUGUGUGGCUCAGUAGUCCAGGAAGCAAAAGGAAAAGCACAGUGGUGCCAGUGUUGUGCUGUUAUAGGCAAGAUGCUGGGAGCAAGGACAAGGGCAACGGGGACAUGUGAGUGACACUUUGGCAAGAGGACGACUUGUGACCACUUGGCAAGACAUCCGUGUGAGGAGCAAUGAACAAGGAUAAAUAGGGGAAAGCAUCAUGUUUGCCUCUUUUGGGGUAGGUGUGUUGUGGACGCCAGACAGCGAGUCGUGAGAUGCUUGAAGGGAGACCUUUGAGGACGAUGGACCAAAGAAAAGACUGACCUAUCAAGUUGAUGGUAGGAUAGGGGCCUACCAAGCUAAUAACGGGUGACGGGGAAUUAGGGUUUGACUCCGGAGAGGGAGCCUGAGAAAUGGCUACCACUUCCAAGGAAGGCAGCAGGCGCGUAAAUUACUCAGUGCCGAAAGGGCGAGGUAGUGACGACAAAUACUGAUGUUUUCUUGGCUUUUGGCUGAGGGAGCAAUUGGAAUGAAGCAGACAAGACAUGAUAGAGUAGCAAUUGGAGGGCAAGUCUGGUGCCAGCAGCCGCGGUAAUUCCAGCUCCAAGAGUGUAUAUUAAAGCUGUUGCGAUUAAAACGCUCGUAGUUUAUAUUGUGGUUGUGUGUUUGUGUGUGGCUAUUCUUUUCAUGGCUUCUUUAUAGAGGGGUAGUGAGAGAGACACACACUGGUGCAUGACAGGUGGUUCAGUUUGGAGAUUGUGCUUGGAUGGACGGUUAGGAAGAACUGGAUGGAAUACUUUGAACAAAAUAGGACGAUAGAGGUAGGUAGUAUAGUAUGAUGGAUAUAUUAGCAUAGGAUAAUAGAGGUGUAUAAGAGGCGUGUGAUAGUGGAGCACAUGGCAAGGGACAAGAAAUCUGUGGUGGUUGUGAUUGUGGAAAUGGUUUUUUGAGUGGCACUAGGUGACUGAUGGGACACUUUGUGUGCUUAGGUCAAGUUGUGGUGGUCAAGAAAAGAGUGAGUGGGGACACACACGGACAGGCAAUUGGAACGAGGACAGAGAAAUAGGCCUUUAGUGGCAGACCUUGGCGUGAGCGAGGACAUGGCGGAGAGACAGAAGCAGUUAGACAGACAAAGAAUAGGAACAAAGGGGGUGGUAGAUAUUUUCCUGAGAGAGGUGAAAUUCAAUGACCAGGAAAAGAUAGACGAGAGCGAAAGCAUUCCACAAAGAUGUUUUCAUAGAUCAAGAACGAAAGUUGGGGGAUCGAAGACGAUCAGAUACCGUCGUAGUCUC